UACAGAGGGUGCAAGCGUUAUUCGGAUUUACUGGGCGUAAAGGGCGCGUAGGCGGCUUAAUAAGUUUGAUGUGAAAUCCCUCGACUCAAUCGGGGAAGUGCAUUGGAUACUGUUAAGCUAGAGUGUAGGAGAGGAGAGCGGAAUUCCUGGUGUAGAGGUGAAAUUCGUAGAUAUCAGGAGGAACAACAGAGGCGAAGGCGGCUCUCUGGACUACAACUGACGCUGAGGCGCGAAAGCGUGGGGAGCAAACAGG
This 253-nucleotide ribosomal RNA is filed under the name uncultured bacterium. RNAcentral's name for it is "partial 16S ribosomal RNA". It matches the Rfam family "Bacterial small subunit ribosomal RNA", at positions 524 to 776 of the family's 1533-position model. The record is from RNAcentral.